AUUCCAUGAUGAGGGCAUUUUCAUAAUAAAUCUCUGUAUCUUUCAUAUGCCUCAUACAAGAACUCAUCAUCCACUUGUUGGAAGGCAGUGAUCUCAUUCCUCAACUU
Molecule: non-coding RNA, 107 nt
Organism: Gossypium arboreum
Lineage: Eukaryota; Viridiplantae; Streptophyta; Magnoliopsida; Malvales; Malvaceae
Source: Rfam